Molecule: ribosomal RNA, 877 nt
Filed under: uncultured candidate division WS6 bacterium
Lineage: Bacteria
Description: bacterial SSU rRNA
Rfam family: Bacterial small subunit ribosomal RNA
Source: RNAcentral
AACGUUGGCUGUGUGCNUAAGGUAUGCAAGUCGAACGAUCCCUUUGAACUACUUGAGACUUCGGUUGAUUGUUUUUCUUUUUGGGAUAGUGGCAAACGGGUGAGUAACACGUGGAUAACCUACCUCGAAGUCAUGAACAGCUCAUCGAAAGAUGGGAUAAUACAUGAUGGUCUUAUAUUUUCUUUAUGAUUUUAUAAGUAAAGCUUUUGCGCUUUGAGAGGGGUCCGCGUCCUAUCAGCUUGUUGGUGAGGUAAUGGCUCACCAAGGCUAAGACGGGUAGCUGGCGUGAGAGCGCGGUCAGCCACCAUGGAACUGAGACACGGUCCAUACUCCUACGGGAGGCAGCAAUUAGGAAUCUUGCGCAAUGGGGGCAACCCUGACGCAGCGACACAGCGUGGAGGACGAAGGUCUUAGGAUUGUAAACUCCUUUUAUAUGGGAAGAAUAGAUGACGGUACCAUAUGAAUAAGCACCUGCUAACUACGUGCCAGAAGCAUCGGUGAUGCGUAGGGUGCAAACGUUAUCCGGAUUUAUUGGGCGUAUAGAGAUGCGUAGGCGUUUUUGUAAGUCUUUAGUUAAAUAUCACGGCUCAACCGUGGACAAGCUUUGGAUACUGCAAGAAUUGAGACAGGAAGAGGCGAACAGAAUUCCCAGUGGAGCGGUGAAAUGCGUUGAUAUUGGGAGGAAUAUCAGUGGCGAAGGCGGUUCGCUGGUCCUUGUCUGACGCUAAGGCUCGAAAGCGUGGGUAGCAAAACGGAUUAGAUACCCGUGUAGUCCACGCCGUAAACUAUGGAUGCUAGGUGUUCGGUACAACUAUUUUUUCCUUCGGGAAAUGAUGGAAGUAUUGAGUACCGCAGUUAACACGUUAAGCAUCCCGCC